This 485-nucleotide ribosomal RNA is filed under the name uncultured bacterium. Its description in RNAcentral is "partial 16S ribosomal RNA". It matches the Rfam family "Bacterial small subunit ribosomal RNA", at positions 29 to 523 of the family's 1533-position model. The record is from RNAcentral.
AGCGAACGCUGGCGGCGUGCUUAACACAUGCAAGUCGAACGAGAACGGAAUAUAGCUUGCUAUAUUUGUCAGCUAAGUGGCGCACGGGUGAGUAAUGUAUAGAUAAUCUGCCCUUAAGAAAGGAAUAACAGUUGGAAACGACUGCUAAUGCCCUAUAUGCCUUUAAUACAUAAGUAUGCAAGGGAAACGCUUUAGUGCUUAAGGAUGGGUCUGUAUGGUAUCAGCUUGUUGGUGAGGUAAUGGCUCACCAAGGCUAUGACGCCUAACUGGUUUGAGAGGAUGAUCAGUCACACUGGAACUGAGACACGGUCCAGACUCCUACGGGAGGCAGCAGUGGGGAAUAUUGCACAAUGGACGAAAGUCUGAUGCAGCAACGCCGCGUGGAGGAUGACACAUUUCGGUGCGUAAACUCCUUUUAUAUAGGAAGAUAAUGACGGUACUAUAUGAAUAAGCACCGGCUAACUCCGUGCCAGCAGCCGCGGUAA